AGAAGUGCGAAUGCUGACAUAAGUAACGAUAAUGCGGGUGAAAAACCCGCACGCCGGAAGACCAAGGGUUCCUGUCCAACGUUAAUCGGGGCAGGGUGAGUCGACCCCUAAGGCGAGGCCGAAAGGCGUAGUCGAUGGGAAACAGGUUAAUAUUCCUGUACUUGGUGUUACUGCGAAGGGGGGACGGAGAAGGCUAUGUUAGCCGGGCGACGGUUGUCCCGGUUUAAGCAUGUAGGCGGAGGUUCCAGGUAAAUCCGGUACCUUUUUAACGCUGAGGUGUGAUGACGAGGCACUACGGUGCUGAAGUAACAAAUGCCCUGCUUCCAGGAAAAGCCUCUAAGCAUCAGGUAACACGAAAUCGUACCCCAAACCGACACAGGUGGUCAGGUAGAGAAUACCAAGGCGCUUGAGAGAACUCGGGUGAAGGAACUAGGCAAAAUGGUGCCGUAACUUCGGGAGAAGG
Molecule: ribosomal RNA, 463 nt
Filed under: Citrobacter freundii
Lineage: Bacteria; Pseudomonadati; Pseudomonadota; Gammaproteobacteria; Enterobacterales; Enterobacteriaceae
Also listed under: 1 other name
Description: partial 23S ribosomal RNA
Rfam family: Bacterial large subunit ribosomal RNA
Source: RNAcentral